Molecule: ribosomal RNA, 578 nt
Filed under: uncultured bacterium
Lineage: Bacteria
Description: bacterial SSU rRNA
Rfam family: Bacterial small subunit ribosomal RNA
Source: RNAcentral
CGACGAAGCAUUUGCGACAGAUUUCUUCGGGAUGAAGUUGCUUAUGACUGAGUGGCGGACGGGUGAGUAACGCGUGGGUAACCUGCCUUGUACUGGGGGAUAGCAGCUGGAAACGGCUGGUAAUACCGCAUAAGCGCACAAUGUUGCAUGACAUGGUGUGAAAAACUCCGGUGGUAUAAGAUGGACCCGCGUCUGAUUAGCUAGUUGGUGAGAUAACAGCCCACCAAGGCGACGAUCAGUAGCCGACCUGAGAGGGUGACCGGCCACAUUGGGACUGAGACACGGCCCAGACUCCUACGGGAGGCAGCAGUGGGGAAUAUUGCACAAUGGAGGAAACUCUGAUGCAGCGACGCCGCGUGAGUGAAGAAGUAAUUCGUUAUGUAAAGCUCUAUCAGCAGGGAAGAUAGUGACGGUACCUGACUAAGAAGCUCCGGCUAAAUACGUGCCAGCAGCCGCGGUAAUACGUAUGGAGCAAGCGUUAUCCGGAUUUACUGGGUGUAAAGGGAGUGUAGGUGGCCAUGCAAGUCAGAAGUGAAAAUCCGGGGCUCAACCCCGGAACUGCUUUUGAAACUGUAAGG